This 462-nucleotide ribosomal RNA is filed under the name Marcia japonica. RNAcentral describes it as "partial 16S ribosomal RNA". It matches the Rfam family "Bacterial large subunit ribosomal RNA", at positions 1818 to 2591 of the family's 2925-position model. The record is from RNAcentral. Lineage: Eukaryota; Metazoa; Mollusca; Bivalvia; Venerida; Veneridae.
GCUUUUUGGUUUUAAGAAUAAGAAGUCGGGCCUGCCCAGUGAGAAAUAUUAAACGGCUGCAGCGAGAGCUGUACUAAGGUAGCGCGAUAAUUUGUCUUUUAAUUGGAGAAUGGUAUGAAAGGUUUGUCGCGGAUUGGUUGUCUCUUAAAAGUUUAGUGAAGUUUCCUUUUUAGUGAAAAGGCUAAAAAUUAUACAAAAGACGAGAAGACCCUGUCGAGCUUGAUUAGCUUAAAUCUAUUAAUGAGUCUAAGUAAAUGUUAGUUGGGGAAAACUGGGCUUCAUAAAAUAAGCUCACUAAAGCGGAGAUCCUUUUUUAGAGAAAACUGGUAUAAGUUACCGCAGGGAUAACAGCGUUAUUUUCUUUGAGAGAUCUUAUUGAGGAGAAAGUUUGCGACCUCGAUGUUGGAUUAGAAUUACUGUUUGGUGCAGCAGCUAAAAAAAGUGGGACUGUUCGUCCUUUAA